GAAAAAGUGGCAUCCCGCCUCGCUGCUCAGUCCUGGCGGCCCCCGCACACCCCACUCAGGCGGACGACCGCCACAGUGCGUAAAAGUGGGAGUCCGCCACGCUGCUCAGACCUAUGGCUACGCCCCCCACUCAGGCGGCCGACCACCAGAGUGCGUAAAAGUGGCAGACCACUGCGCUGCUCAACCCAGGGGGCCUUCCACCCCACUCAAGCGCCCGACCGCCAGAGUGGGACAUAGUGGCAGCCCGCCGCGCUGCUCAGCCCUGGGGUCCCUCACGCCACUCAGGCGGCCGACCAAAAGAGUGGGUUAAAGUGGCAGCCCGCCGCGCUGCUCAGCCCUGGGGGCCCCACCUUGACUCAGGCGGCAGACCGCCAUAGUGGGUCAAAGGGGCAGCCCGAUGCGCUGCUCAGCCCUGGGGGCGCCCCACACACUCUGGUGUCCGACCGCCAGAGUGGCCCAAAUUGGCAGCCCGCAGCGCUGCUCAGCCCUGGGGUCCCUCACCCCACUCAGGCGGCCGACAGACAGAGUGGGUCAUAGUGGCAGCCCGCCGCGCAGCUCAGCCCUGGGGGUCCAACCCUGACUCAGGCGGCAGACCACCACAAUGGUGAAAGUGGCAGCCCGCUGCGCUGCCCAGCCCGGGCGGGCCCCCCUCUACUCAGGCGGCCGACAGCCAGACUGGGUCAAAGUGGCAGCCCGCCAUGCUGCUCACCCCUGGCGGCCACCGCCAACUCAGGUGGCCCACCGCCAGAGUGGGUCAAACUGGCAGCCUGCCGCGCUGCUCAGCACUGGGGGCCCCACUCCCACUCAGGCGGCCGACCGCCCGAGUGGGUUAAAGUCGCAGCCCGCAGCGCUGCUCAGCCCUGGGGGCGCCCCACGUAGUCUGGCGACCGAUCGCCACAGUGGCUCAUAGUGGCAGCCCACCGCGCUGCUCAGCCCUGGGGUCCCCGCCCCCCACUAAGGCGGCCGACCGCCAGAGUGGCUCAAAGUGGCAGCCUGCCGCGCAGCUCAGUCCGGGCGGGCCCCCCCUCUACUCAGGCGGCCGACAGACAGACUGGGUCAAAUUGGCAGCCCGCCGCACUGCUCAGCCCUGGAGGCCCCCCCACCCCCACUCAGGCUGCCGACCACCAGAGUGGGUCAAAGUGGCAGCCCGCCGCGCUGCUCAGCCCUGGGGGCCCUUCCAACCCACUCAGGCGGCCGACCGAUAGAGUGGGAAAAAGUGGCAGCCUGUCGCGCUGCUCAGCCCUGGGGGGCCUCCACACCCACUCAGGCGAUGGACGGCCAGAGUGGGUCAAAGUGGCAGCCCGCCGCGCUGCUCAGCCAUGGGGGCCCUCCCUCACCACUCAGGCGGCCGAGGGACAGAGUGGUUCAAAGUGGCAGCCCACCACACUGCUCAGCCCUGGGGGCCCUCCCCACCCACUCAUGCUGCCGACCGUCAGAGUGGGUCAAAGUGGCAGCCCACCACACUGCUCUGCCCCUGGGGCCCUCCCCCACACUCGGGUGCCCAAACAGCAGAGUGGGUCAAAGCGGCAGCCCACCGCGCUGCUCAGCCCUGGCGGCCCUCCCCCUCCACUCAGGCGGCCGACCGCCAGAGUGGGUCAAAGUGGCAGCCCGCCGCGCAGCUCAGUCCGGGCGGGCCCCCCUCUACUCAGGCGGCCGACAGAAAGACUGGGUCAAAUUGGCAGCCCGCCGCACUGCUCAGCCCUGGAGGCCCCCCCCUCCCCACUCUGGCUGCCGACCACCAGAGUGGGUCAAUGUGGCAGCCCGCCGCGCAGCUCAGCCCUGGCUGCCCCACCCUGACUGAGGUGGCAGACCGCCAUAGUGGGUCAAAGGGGCAGCCCGCCACGCUGCUCAGCCCUGGGGGACCUCUCCACACUCAGGCGGCCGACCGCCAGAGUGGGUCAAAGUGGCAGCCCGCCGCGCAGCUCAGCCCUGGCUGCCCCACCCUGACUGAGGUGGCAGACCGCCAUAGUGGGUCAAAGUGGCAGCCCGCCGCGCAGCUCAGUCCGGGCGGGCCCCCCUCUACUCAGGCGGCCGACAGACAGACUGGGUCCAAUUGGCAGCCCGCCGCACUGCUCAGCCCUGGAAGCGCCCCCCCCACCCCCCGACUCAGGCUGCCGACCACCAGAGUGGGAAAAAGUGGCAGCCCGCCGCGCUGCUCAGCCCUGGGGGCGCCCCACCUAGUCUGGCUGCCGAUCGCCAGUGUGGGUCAAAGUGGCAGCCCGCCGCGCAGCUCAGCCCAGGGGACACAACCUGACUCAGGUUGCAGACCGCCAGAGUGGGUCAAAGUGGCAGCCCGCCGCGCUGCUCAGCCCUGGUGGCCACACCCCACUCAGGCGGCCCACCGCCAGAGUGGGUCAAAGUGUCAGCCCACCGUGCUGCUCAGCCCUGGGAUCCCUCACCCCACUCAGGCGGCCCACCGCCAGAGUGGGUCAAAGUGUUAGCACGCAUUGCUGCUCAGCCCCUGGGGACCUCCCCCACACUCAGGUGCCCAACCAGCAGAGUGGGACAAAGUGGCAGCCCACAGCGCUGCUCAGCCCUGGGGGCCCUCCCCCCACUCAGGCGGCCGACCGCCAGAGUGGGUCAAAGUGGCAGCCCGCCGGGCUGCUCAGCCCUGGGGGCCCUCUCCCCACUCAGGAGUCUGACCGCCAGAGUGGGUCAAAGUGGCAGCCCCACCCCCACUCAGGCGGCCGACAGCCAGAGAGGGUCAAAGAGGGAGCCCGCCGCGCUGCUCAGCCCCCCCAACAGUCAGGCGGGCGACGGCCAGAGUGGGUCAAAGUGGCAGUCCGCCACGAUGCUCAUCCCUGGGGGCCCUUUCCCCACCCAAGCGGCCGACCGCCAGAGUGGGUCUAAGUGGCAGCCCGCUGCGCUGCUCAGCCCUGGGGCCCCUCCCUCCCACUAAGGCGCCCCACCGCCAGAGUGGGUCAGAGUGGCAGCCCGCCGCGCUGCUCAGCCCUGGGGGCCCCACCCCCACUCAGGCGGCAAUCCGCCAGAGUGGGUCAAAGUGGCAGCCCUCCGAGGUGCUGAGCAUUGGCGGGCCCGACCCCCACUCAAGCGGCCCAUAGACAGAGUGGGAAAAAGUGGCAGCCCGCCGCGCUGCUCACCCCUGGCGGCCACCGCCAACUCAGGUGGCCCACCGCCAGAGUGGUCAAACUGGCAGCCUGCCGCGCUGCUCAGCACUGGGGACCCCACUCCCACUCAGGCGGCCGACCGCCCGAGUGGGUCAAAGUCGCAGCCCGCAGCACUGCUCAGCCCUGGGGGCGCCCCACGUAGUCUGGCGGCCGAUCGCCACAGUGGCUCAUAGUGGCAGCCCACCACGCAGCUCAGCCCUGGGGGUCCCACGCCCACUCAGGCGGCCGACCGCCAGAGUGGGUCAAAGUGGCAGCCCGCCGCGCAGCUCAGUCCGGGCGGGCCCCCCUCUACUCAGGCGGCCGACAGAAAGACUGGGUCAAAUUGGCAGCCCACCGCACUGCUCAGCCCUGGAGGCCCCCCCCC
Long non-coding RNA from Equus caballus (horse), 3492 nucleotides. NCBI's taxonomy places the organism in Eukaryota, Metazoa, Chordata, Mammalia, Perissodactyla, Equidae. The record is from Ensembl.